CGAUAACACAGUGUGAGGAGAGCAAAAUUUAAGCCAUGUUUUUUAUAGAUAACAUUGCUGUCAUCGCUCUUAAACAUCAACUUACAGCUUUUUUAAAAUGUGCCCCAAAGCAAUUGGUCAUGUGACACACGUGAACCAAUGCUAUUUGCCAUCAACGCACAAAACCCUGGGGCCUUAUUUAUCAACAGUCCGUAGAAAAGGUUUUAUAUUUUGUCCUUAUAUUUACACACAUUUCAACAUAUAAGUACAAGUUGGUAGAUCACACAAUUUGCGUGAAAUUGUGCGUAAUCACUCUUUACGCACACAUCUGUGCGUAUGCUCUGUUGAUAAAUGAGGGCCCAGGCUCCAAAGGCACAAUUUUUGAAUUGAACAUCACAGCUAAUUAUUUGACCUCAACGCAAGAGUUGAAAAUGUACACAUUUCAUUGUGUUCCUCCCACAAAAAUUCACAUUGUUUUAGAGGACCAUUCCUUUGGACUACUUUUAUGAUUUUCCCCUCGACAUUUAAAAUCAAUUCACUUUCACUGAAGGCCAUUCUGCCUACUCUCAUGUUUCACAGAAGAAAUAAAAGGAUACAGCCAGGAUCUUGGAAUGGCAUAAGUCAAGGAACUGUGUGUCCCCUCGACAGAGAAGCGAUCUCUAUCCCAGAGCUGCGUGAUCAAAGCGUAUAGAUGGAAAGCUGACAGAUAUAGAGAACUGAGAGUCUUCCUGUGUGUGGAGCCAGAGGCAAGACUGCACUAUCAACACGUCGUCUACUGGCAGAUGGAUGCCACAGGGACAUGAGAAAGCUCAGAUUCAGCAGUUCAAAGCCUAGACACCCUGAAAACUGCAUGAACACUGAUGGGAGGAAUGAUGACAUUAUGCUCCAACUCAACAAAGGCAAGUGGAAUGAGGCAACACACUGAAGCAAUCAAGUAAUGGACAGUGAAAGAAAUUGGUCAACUUAUGAUUUCUAAUUAUGUUCCUUCAAGCUUUGACAUUUCAUAGUGUAUCAGAAAUGAACAGU
Molecule: long non-coding RNA, 1005 nt
Organism: Cyprinus carpio carpio
Lineage: Eukaryota; Metazoa; Chordata; Actinopteri; Cypriniformes; Cyprinidae
Source: Ensembl